UCUAAAAUGGCAGAAUGAUGCCCAAGAUUUAGGAUCUUGUUAUGGAUUCAUGUUUAUCCUUUUAGAA
This 67-nucleotide transfer RNA is filed under the name Paralithodes platypus (blue king crab). Its description in RNAcentral is "tRNA-Leu". Lineage: Eukaryota; Metazoa; Arthropoda; Malacostraca; Decapoda; Lithodidae. The record is from RNAcentral.